GAUGAACGCUGGCGGCGUGCCUAAUACAUGCAAGUCGAGCGAACAGAUAAGGAGCUUGCUCCUUUGACGUUAGCGGCGGACGGGUGAGUAACACGUGGGUAACCUACCUAUAAGACUGGGAUAACUUCGGGAAACCGGAGCUAAUACCGGAUAACAUUUAGAACCGCAUGGUUCUAAAGUGAAGGAUGGUUUUGCUAUCACUUAUAGAUGGACCCGCGCCGUAUUAGCUAGUUGGUAAGGUAACGGCUUACCAAGGCAACGAUACGUAGCCGACCUGAGAGGGUGAUCGGUCACACUGGAACUGAGACACGGUCCAGACUCCUACGGGAGGCAGCAGUAGGGAAUCUUCCGCAAUGGGCGAAAGCCUGACGGAGCAACGCCGCGUGAGUGAUGAAGGGUUUCGGCUCGUAAAACUCUGUUAUUAGGGAAGAACAAAUGUGUAAGUAACUGUGCACGUCUUGACGGUACCUAAUCAGAAAGCCACGGCUAACUACGUG
Molecule: ribosomal RNA, 497 nt
Filed under: uncultured bacterium
Lineage: Bacteria
Description: partial 16S ribosomal RNA
Rfam family: Bacterial small subunit ribosomal RNA
Source: RNAcentral